CAGGUUCAGCUGCAGCAGUCUGGAGCUGAGCUGAUGAAGCCUGGGGCCUCAGUGAAGCUUUCCUGCAAGGCUACUGGCUACACAUUCACUGGCUACUGGAUAGAGUGGGUAAAGCAGAGGCCUGGACAUGGCCUUGAGUGGAUUGGAGAGAUUUUACCUGGAAGUGGUAGUACUAACUACAAUGAGAAGUUCAAGGGCAAGGCCACAUUCACUGCAGAUACAUCCUCCAACACAGCCUACAUGCAACUCAGCAGCCUGACAACUGAGGACUCUGCCAUCUAUUACUGUGCAAGA
Molecule: non-coding RNA, 294 nt
Organism: Mus musculus (house mouse)
Lineage: Eukaryota; Metazoa; Chordata; Mammalia; Rodentia; Muridae
Source: the annotation of a RefSeq genome assembly